AUACGUAGGGUGCGAGCGUUAAUCGGAAUUACUGGGCGUAAAGCGUGCGCAGGUGGUUUUGUAAGUCAGAUGUGAAAUCCCCGGGCUCAACCUGGGAAUGGCGCUUGUGACUGCAAGGCUAGAGUGCGUCAGAGGGGGGUAGAAUUCCACGUGUAGCAGUGAAAUGCGUAGAGAUGUGGAGGAAUACCGAUGGCGAAGGCAGCCCCCUGGGACGAGACUGACGCUCAUGCACGAAAGCGUGGGGAGCAAACGGGAUUAGAAACCCCAGUAGUCC
Molecule: ribosomal RNA, 274 nt
Filed under: uncultured bacterium
Lineage: Bacteria
Description: partial 16S ribosomal RNA
Rfam family: Bacterial small subunit ribosomal RNA
Source: RNAcentral